This 440-nucleotide ribosomal RNA is filed under the name uncultured bacterium. Its description in RNAcentral is "partial 16S ribosomal RNA". It matches the Rfam family "Bacterial small subunit ribosomal RNA", at positions 338 to 795 of the family's 1533-position model. The record is from RNAcentral.
CCUACGGGAGGCAGCAGUGGGGGAUAUUGCACAAUGGGGGGAACCCUGAUGCAGCGACGCCGCGUGAGCGAAGAAGUACCUCGGUAUGUAAAGCUCUAUCAGCAGGGAAGAAAAUGACGGUACCUGAGUAAGAAGCCCCGGCUAACUACGUGCCAGCAGCCGCGGUAAUACGUAGGGGGCAAGCGUUAUCCGGAUUUACUGGGUGUAAAGGGAGCGUAGACGGCAGUGCAAGUCUGGAGUGAAAGGCGGGGGCUCAACCCCCGGACUGCUCUGGAAACUGUACGGCUGGAGUGCAGGAGAGGUAAGUGGAAUUCCUGGUGUAGCGGUGAAAUGCGUAGAUAUUAGGAGGAACCCCAGUGGCGAAGGCGGCUUACUGGACUGUAACUGACGUUGAGGCUCGAAAGCGUGGGGAGCAAACAGGAUUAGAUACCCCUGUAGUC